UACAGAGGUCUCAAGCGUUGUUCGGAUUCAUUGGGCGUAAAGGGUGCGUAGGUGGCGCUGUAAGUCAGGUGUGAAAUUUCGGAGCUUAACUCCGAAACUGCAUUUGAUACUGCGGUGCUCGAGGACUGGAGAGGAGACUGGAAUUUACGGUGUAGCAGUGAAAUGCGUAGAGAUCGUAAGGAAGACCAGUGGCGAAGGCGGGUCUCUGGACAGUUCCUGACACUGAGGCACGAAGGCUAGGGGAGCGAACGGG
This 253-nucleotide ribosomal RNA is filed under the name uncultured bacterium. Its description in RNAcentral is "partial 16S ribosomal RNA". It matches the Rfam family "Bacterial small subunit ribosomal RNA", at positions 524 to 776 of the family's 1533-position model. The record is from RNAcentral.